CUAGGAGGCAGAUGGAGACAGCAUCCUUCCCUCUUUACAGGACUCCGUUGUCUUUACUGAUCUCUGUAAAUCACACAUGAUGGCUCUGCUUGGUUAGACAAGUAGAAACCAGCUUUCAGACCUUAAGGGGAUUUAGGAGAGAUUUUUUGUUUUCCCUAGGGAGUUACAAAUGUUAACCAAGUCAUCCCAUUUGAAAUGGCAGCUGAAGAAAUAGAGUCACAGAUUUUGCAAAUGAUAGCAAGUUCUUUCAGUCAAAUUCUCUGCAAUCCAUAAGGACUUCACCAAACUGAGCUCGCACUGAGAUGGCAGAUGACCUUUAAUAUAGAUAAACACAGGGCAAAGGACCUAGGAAAAAAUGAUCUCUACCAAAUUUAGAACAAAGAGUUACAACUUAGGAAAGACAUCUUGGAGCCAUUGCUGAUGGCUGUCUGAAAUCAUCAGCUCAGUAUGUGAUGGCAAGCAAAAGUCAAUAAAAUGUUGGAGCUCCUAAGAAAGUUAUUGGGAACAGGACAGAGGGUGUAAUGUUGCUGCUAUAUUAAAAAUUAAAUACACACACACAAAAAAACUGUGUUCUUGUAGUAGAGGAAAAAGGAAGCAAAACUUGUUGGAGGGCUGAAGCUGCUAUCUUACAGACUGAAAACACUGGGAUUUUGGUCUGAAGAGAAGGAGGCAAUGGAGGGGUGUAAUCGUGAUUUACAAAGUGAUGAGUGUGCUGAUUGAACUGCUCUUGCAUCUUGUUUCCCAGAUCGUGAUAUAGGAUCUAGGAACAUUGGAGGCAACCAGCAAAAGAUGAACUUAAAGCAGAAAAUAAAGUACUUGCUUACACAGAUGCUGUAAGAAAGCUGCACUACAUUGGUAGAGCACUGGACCUGGACAAGCUCAAAAAGCAGCCCCACGAGAACCUAUUGAGAUUCAACAAGGCCAAGUGCAAGAUGUUCAACUUGGGUGACAGCAGUCCCAGAUAUGAGUACAGACUGGGACAAGAGCUCAUUGGGAACAGUCCUGCACAGAAAGACUGGGAGGUCCUGAUGGACAAAAAGCUGGACACAAGUCAGCAGUGUGCUCUUGCCACCCAGAAGGCCAACAGUAUCUUGGGCUGCAUCAAAAGAGGGGUGGCCAGCCGGGCAAGGGAGGUGAUCGUCUCCCAUCUACUUUGCCCUUCUAGAGCUCCAUCUGGAGUACUGUGUCCAGAUCUGGAAGUACAGGAAGGAUAUGGAGCUGUUGGAGCUGGUCCAGAGGAGGGCCAGGAAGAUGAUCAGGGGUCAGAAGCAUCUCUCCUGUGAAAAAAGGUUGAGGGAGUUGGGCUUGUUUAGCUUGGAGAAGAGAAGGCUCUGAGGAGAACUCAUUGAAGCAUCCCAGUACUUGAAGGGAGCUUGUAAGCAGGAUGGGGACUGACUUUUUACAUGGUUUGAUAGUGAUAGGACGAGAGAGAAUGGCUUUAAACUAAAAUAGCUGAAAUUUAGGUUGGAUGUUGGGAAGAAAUUCUUUACCCAGAGGAUGGUGAGGCACUGGCACAGGCUGCCAAGAGAAGCUGUGAGUGCCCCAUCCCUGGAGACAUUCAAAGUCAUGUUGGAUGGGGCCCUGGAUAGGCCCCCAGCCUUGAGCUGGUGGGUGGCAGCCUUGCCUGCAGCAGGGGUGCAGAAACUAGACAAUCUGUAAGGUCCCUUCCAACUUAAGCCAUUCUGUGAUUCUAUGAUUCCAUGACAGUAGUUUAUUUUCCAAACAGUCAUUCACAGGUUUAUCCACGUGGGAACAGAAGACUUCACCAAGAAAAUGCAGUGUCUCAGUGGGAGCAACAUGCCUCAUGAAUUAUUUGGGGUUGUAGUUUUAAAAACAUGUAUGUGAUGUAAAAGUCUCAACCCCAUUGCUUUAAGUGCUGAAGAGCAAGCUGCUCAGAGGCCUGAAUGAUGACUGUUGUGUACAUUGCCAUGCCUAUCUUCAGGCUCAGCACUCAAGCUGGUGUUUUCUGACUGGAUGCAAUGAGAGGGAAGCUAAGGCGUCCAGUUCACAGAAGGUAUCUAUCUCCAUACAAGUACCCUGUAACAAUAUAAUGGAAGAGGUUCCAAGAAGCACAUAUCAAAUAUUUAGGAAACAAUUUGCUGCUACUUUUGCUUCUGUUUCUGUUUUUAAUUGAACUGGUCCUGCGCACUAAACCCUUAAGAGGGUUUAAUCUCAAGAAGUUUAUAUAGUUUAUAUAGAAGUUUAUAUAUAGCACAGGAUGCUCUGCUCAGGAUGUGCCUCAUGCAUCACACACCUGUUUGCAAGCCAUGUUUGAGCACAUGCCAGUAUACACAGGGCAAUGGAUCCCACAGCCUCACCAGGCCCAGGCAGGGAUAAGGUGCAGCACAGAAGGCAACCCCAUGUUUUGCUCUCCCUGUUGGCCUCUGUCCUAGCUGCUGAAUUUUCUGUGGUUUUGAGCAACAGUGGAAGAUCUGGAUUGAAGACCAGUAAUGAGGAGUAUUGUUCUCUCAAGCUGCUGCAGAACUAUCCUGUGAAGAAUUACGGCACACUGUGGGAUGGUGCAUGGAUCUAUUUUCAGAUAGUCGUUAUGGGGAUCUAAUUCCUUCCAGACAAAAAAGUCCCCAUCUCAGUGGCUACUUGCAGUGAGCUGUAAGUCGUACUGUGAAAAGCCCAGCACUAUGAAGCAAGACACCAGCUACUUACUCACUUCCCAUCACUGAAGUUGUACUGCCCUAUACACUGAGCUCACACUUGCCUUGUCACUGCAGACUCUGUUGACUCACUAAGGAGCAGAUCAUGAAAUCCCAAAGGAACAUCUAGGAGGAUGUCUCCUUGCUGUCCGACAGCCACGGUACCUCAUAAAGAUGAGAAGAAACUCUGUAGUGUGCCUCCCUUUGUCCCUUAUUUCUCUUUUGCAGAGUAUUCCAUGAUGACCCUAGCAGAGACCCUUUUAUGCUUUUGAGUAAAAUUCCCACUGUUCAGCCGGCUUUUAAACGUUUAUUUCAAGGAUAAUUUUAAGUGUAGGUUUUCAUUAUUAGAGACAGAAACUAGGCAUGCGAAUCCAUUCAUUACUGUGCUCUGACUUUUCCAAAGUAUCUCCCAAUCUACAUUAAUCAGAAGUAAUGAGAGGAGACAAGGGUUAGAAAAAUGUGUUUCCAUGAAGAGUUUCUUCAUGAUUUUUCUGCUGUAAAUUCCAUAUGUAAUGUAAACUCAUGCAAAAUGCCUCCAACGGAAUGCCAAAAUGACAUUUUUGGAUGAUCCCUGACUCCGUAAUGCUCCAAGGCACUCAGUGCCCCAGAGCAAAAACAAGGACAGAGGUGCCGAGGGCAAAGGCUGGGAUGUGGACAUCUUAGAAGGCUCCAGGCGUGCCACUGCAAGGAGUGCUGAGGGCAGGUCGGCUUGGCUGGCAGGUGUGAAAUUUCACCACAGAAAUGUCCACAGGCAUAAAGAGCAGGCCUCUGGCAAGCUGCUUUUGUCCAACUUCCCUGCCAAGUGCCAGGGCUCACAGUAACCGUUCUGCAUGCAAGUCAGAACAAAACCAAAUCCCAGCUCCAACAUUGUUCUGCUCCCACAUGGCUAUCACUGAAAUCAUCUUGCAUUUUGUGGGCGCUUGGUAUUAAGCGUGGUAGUUAGAGCUGACAAGAUUCACAGAGGCCAUAAGCCAAAACACCAGAACAGGUUUACUAUUUGGUCAGGAACAACAGUUCAGAGGGACAGCAUGGCAGGUACUGGAUGGUGUGGCAGAGGACAUCCAAGCCAAGUGACAGCAGGACACAGUCUUCAGUAAUUACAGAUAAAGCACCUGGCAUUUGCUAGUGUUCUUAGAAGAUCCAGUGAAGGAAAACAUCUGGGGAAGUAGAUUGUAGAUUUAUGGCAAAAAGCAAUCGUUCAGAUUUUAU
Long non-coding RNA from Gallus gallus (chicken), 3860 nucleotides. The record is from Ensembl. Lineage: Eukaryota; Metazoa; Chordata; Aves; Galliformes; Phasianidae.